AUGGAGAUGGAGGCAAAAAAGCUAGAAGCCCAGCGGGAGAAGGAACAACAACAGCUAGAAGUGAAAAGGAUGGAGAUGGAAGCCCAGCUGGAGGCAAAAAAGCUGGAGCUGGAGGAGAAAAAGCUGGAGGCUCAGCUCCGUCUGCCGACCAACAGGGGAAACGUGAGCACUCCUGUCUCCAUCACGGGAAGCUACUACUGGAGCUGGAUGCGGCAGCUUCCUGGGAAGCAGCCGGAGUGGAUGGGGUAUCAAUAUUCAACUAGCAGGUCAGACUAUGCCUCUCAUCUCCAGAGCCGAAUCACCAUCUCCACAGACCCCUCCAAGAACCAGUUCUCCCUGCAGCUGCGCUCCCUGACAGCCGCAGACACCGCCAUGUACUCCUGUGCCAGGAUGCCACCGUGA
This is a non-coding RNA of Alligator sinensis (Chinese alligator), 402 nucleotides long. NCBI's taxonomy places the organism in Eukaryota, Metazoa, Chordata, Crocodylia, Alligatoridae. The record is from the annotation of a RefSeq genome assembly.